Molecule: ribosomal RNA, 1444 nt
Filed under: Lactiplantibacillus plantarum
Lineage: Bacteria; Bacillati; Bacillota; Bacilli; Lactobacillales; Lactobacillaceae
Description: bacterial SSU rRNA
Rfam family: Bacterial small subunit ribosomal RNA
Source: RNAcentral
CGAACUCUGGUAUUGAUUGGUGCUUGCAUCAUGAUUUACAUUUGAGUGAGUGGCGAACUGGUGAGUAACACGUGGGAAACCUGCCCAGAAGCGGGGGAUAACACCUGGAAACAGAUGCUAAUACCGCAUAACAACUUGGACCGCAUGGUCCGAGUUUGAAAGAUGGCUUCGGCUAUCACUUUUGGAUGGUCCCGCGGCGUAUUAGCUAGAUGGUGGGGUAACGGCUCACCAUGGCAAUGAUACGUAGCCGACCUGAGAGGGUAAUCGGCCACAUUGGGACUGAGACACGGCCCAAACUCCUACGGGAGGCAGCAGUAGGGAAUCUUCCACAAUGGACGAAAGUCUGAUGGAGCAACGCCGCGUGAGUGAAGAAGGGUUUCGGCUCGUAAAACUCUGUUGUUAAAGAAGAACAUAUCUGAGAGUAACUGUUCAGGUAUUGACGGUAUUUAACCAGAAAGCCACGGCUAACUACGUGCCAGCAGCCGCGGUAAUACGUAGGUGGCAAGCGUUGUCCGGAUUUAUUGGGCGUAAAGCGAGCGCAGGCGGUUUUUUAAGUCUGAUGUGAAAGCCUUCGGCUCAACCGAAGAAGUGCAUCGGAAACUGGGAAACUUGAGUGCAGAAGAGGACAGUGGAACUCCAUGUGUAGCGGUGAAAUGCGUAGAUAUAUGGAAGAACACCAGUGGCGAAAGCGGCUGUCUGGUCUGUAACUGACGCUGAGGCUCGAAAGUAUGGGUAGCAAACAGGAUUAGAUACCCUGGUAGUCCAUACCGUAAACGAUGAAUGCUAAGUGUUGGAGGGUUUCCGCCCUUCAGUGCUGCAGCUAACGCAUUAAGCAUUCCGCCUGGGGAGUACGGCCGCAAGGCUGAAACUCAAAGGAAUUGACGGGGGCCCGCACAAGCGGUGGAGCAUGUGGUUUAAUUCGAAGCUACGCGAAGAACCUUACCAGGUCUUGACAUACUAUGCAAAUCUAAGAGAUUAGACGUUCCCUUCGGGGACAUGGAUACAGGUGGUGCAUGGUUGUCGUCAGCUCGUGUCGUGAGAUGUUGGGUUAAGUCCCGCAACGAGCGCAACCCUUAUUAUCAGUUGCCAGCAUUAAGUUGGGCACUCUGGUGAGACUGCCGGUGACAAACCGGAGGAAGGUGGGGAUGACGUCAAAUCAUCAUGCCCCUUAUGACCUGGGCUACACACGUGCUACAAUGGAUGGUACAACGAGUUGCGAACUCGCGAGAGUAAGCUAAUCUCUUAAAGCCAUUCUCAGUUCGGAUUGUAGGCUGCAACUCGCCUACAUGAAGUCGGAAUCGCUAGUAAUCGCGGAUCAGCAUGCCGCGGUGAAUACGUUCCCGGGCCUUGUACACACCGCCCGUCACACCAUGAGAGUUUGUAACACCCAAAGUCGGUGGGGUAACCUUUUAGGAACCAGCCGCCUAAGGUGGGACAGAUGAUU